Molecule: ribosomal RNA, 459 nt
Filed under: uncultured bacterium
Lineage: Bacteria
Description: partial 16S ribosomal RNA
Rfam family: Bacterial small subunit ribosomal RNA
Source: RNAcentral
CCUACGGGUGGCAGCAGUGAGGAAUAUUGGUCAAUGGGCGCAAGCCUGAACCAGCCAAGCCGCGUGAGGGAAGAAGGCCCUAUGGAUGGUAAACCUCUUUUGUCGGGGGGCAAAAGACACGACGCGUGGCGUUCCGAGAGUACCCGAAGAAAAAGCAUCGGCUAACUCCGUUCCAGCAGCCGCGGUAAUACGGGGGAUGCGAGCGUUAUCCGGAUUUAUUGGGUUUAACGGGUGCGCGGGCGGAGGGUUAGGUCGACGGUGAAAUCAAGGGGCUCAACCGCGACGAGCAGUUGAAACUGGUGGUCUUGAGUGUGGUAGAGGUAUGCGGAAUGCGAGGUGUAGCGGUGAAAUGCAUAGAGAUCACGCAGAACUCCGAUUGCGAAGGCAGCGCACCGGCGCACAACUGACGCUCAGGCACGAAAGCGUGGGGAUCGAACAGGAUUAGAUACCCUAGUAGUC